RNAcentral lists this ribosomal RNA (253 nucleotides) under uncultured bacterium. RNAcentral describes it as "partial 16S ribosomal RNA". It matches the Rfam family "Bacterial small subunit ribosomal RNA", at positions 524 to 776 of the family's 1533-position model. The record is from RNAcentral.
GACGAGCCACACGAACGUUAUUCGGAAUUACUGGGCGUAAAGGGCGCGUAGGCGGCCGAGCAAGUUAGAUGUGAAAGUCCUGGGCUUAACCUGGGGACUGCAUUUGAUACUGCUUGGCUUGAAUUCGGGAGAGGAUAGCGGAAUUCCCAGUGUAGAGGUGAAAUUCGUAGAUAUUGGGAAGAACACCGGUGGCGAAGGCGGCUAUCUGGACCGACAUUGACGCUGAGGCGCGAAAGCGUGGGGAGCAAACAGG